GUUCUCCUUCCCUCUGCAUGUCACCCUUGGCCAAGGUGUUGCACAGGGGUUCCCAAACUUUACAAUGCCAUAACCCAAUACCAUUAAGCAAGUGAUCUGUGGACUGCAGGCAACAGUUUGUUUAUACCAGAGUGAAGUAAAAAGAUCCUCUGACUGUUGUUGAUGUUGUGCAUUGUGAUGGCAACUCCUGUCAGUGCACAGAUCAGAUCGACGGAAAACGGGUUGCACAACAAACAUCACUGGUCAGAAGCAAACGGUGAAAUAGAACCAAUCAGUGAACUUGCUGACCCCGAGGAUUCCUCUUGAGGUGUUCAAAGUGACUUCGGCCAAGUACCAUCUUUGGGGAUUAUGUGAUUGGUCAAUUGUGCAGCUUGCCGAACACCAGCUCUAUCCUGAUUGACACACAGAUUCCAAUCUGAAUCCUUGUCAACAUAAUUUUUACUGCUGAGAUCAUCUUCAUCUUCGCCUCACCAUUCCUUUGCCUGCUGCUACCAUCUUACCAUCCAUGCCAAUUUGCUGCCGGCAUCAACAUCCAAUAAACAUUCCCAGUUUGUGUUAAAUUUUAUUUUAACUUAGCCCCUAUUAAUGACGGAGAAAUGCAUAUGGCAAGAUCACUAUGAGCCUGAAGACGGUGAAGCCUUGAAUUAUAAUCCUGCUAAGAAGCAGAAACUACAGAAAGUGUGUCAAUAAAAUGUUAGAUACCUGGAGUAUGGUUUUAUCCUGUUUCUGUCAGAUCAGUGAUAUCCCGUGUAUUUGUAAUACUGUAUUGCAAUGAAGCAAUCAAUAUUGCAGGAACACUUCCAUAAAAGACCCACUGAGAAGGCAGCUUAUGGUAUUUCUCAGUUCCAGAAGAUGAAAGAAGCAUUUGAAAAGCAUUGCACACUCAAGUCAUUUGCCAAGAACUGUGCACAUAGCUUCAAAAAUUAGAAUUUGGGAUACAACUGGAUGAAUCAACUGUGCGAGCCAACGAGGCUUUGCUAAUGGCAUAUGUAGGGUUUAUGAAAAAUGGAAAAGUUUAUGAAGAGGUUCUCUCCUGUAAAAAGUUAAAAACAAAUAUCAAUGGAGAAUCCAUCUACAAGUUUAAAAUAUAUAUUGAGGAUGAAAGUAAUCUGAUUAGGAACAUGAUUUCUUGUGCAACUGAUGGAGCACCAUAUAUGACACAUCACCAUGCCUGGUUAAUGGCACUUGUGAAAAAAGAACUUCCAAAUCUGUUUGCAAUCCAUUGUGUAAUUCAUCGUCAACACCUCGCAGUCAAAAACCUCAGUCACUGACUUUUUUCAAGCAUGACUCUUGUAAUAUCUGCUAUCAGCAAAAUUAAAGCUCAUGCAUUAAAUAGCAGAAUAUUUUGCCAGUUAUGCCAAGAUAACUAUGAAGAAACUGCAGGUUGAAAAUUUCAAUUUAAUCCAGGCAAAAAGUGCAGUGUCCACUUAUAUCAGAAAAUUGGAAAUAUAUAAGCAAAACCUUGCAGAAGAAUAUUCUCUCAGUUUCCCAGCAUCACAAGUAUGCUGCUCUCUUUCACAGACGGUGAUUUGCAAGAGUACUGCUGACACCUGCAGUCACUAAGGAAGGAUUUUCAGAACUAAUUCAAGGAUCUGAAUGAACUAGAAAUUGUGGACUGGGUAAUGGACCCAUUUCUUUGCAAGGUGGAAGAACAGGAAGAGAGCUUGCAAGAAGAAAUCAAUGAAAUUCAGAAUGAUGAUGAUGAUGAUGCAAAAAUACUUUUCAAAAAUGUCAACUCCUGUGGUAUGUGGCUACUCUGUCAUACGAAAUUUCCCGGUUUUUGGAGACGAGCCAAACUGCUCUUCAUUGCAUUUCCAUCCUCCUACCUUGUUCAAGGAGGCUUCAGUUCAGUGAACCAUAUGUUCACAAAAAGCAGAAAUUGUUUGGACAUUGUUAUUUGUGGGGGCUUGAGGCUUUUGCUGUUACAUCUUGAAUCAGAUAUUUCAAUUCUUGCUAAAAACCGUCAAGCUCAAGGAUCACAAUGAUAUAGAAUCUACUGUACAGCGCACAAGUAUUGUGUAAGCUAGGUUUAAAGACAAAUAAAAAAUUAAAGUAUAAUCAUUUUUCUCAUGUUAGCAUAUGGUAGACAUGCCUUUACACUAUGGGAAUGUCAGGAAGUCUACUGUGCCUAAGAGUGGCGUUGGCAAGUAUGGAAGUGCUUUAGGGGAGCACUGGGUUAAAAAAAGGUUGGGAAACACUGCUUUAAAGAGAUAUGGACCACAUGCGAGUAAAUGCGACUUGCUUAGAUGGGAAUCUAGGUCUGCAGGCAUUGGUUGGACUGGAAGGCCUGUUUUCAUACUAUAUGUCUCUUUGACUCUGAAGGCACAAUGGCUCUGCUCCCAUGCUUUUGGUUACUCUGCAUUCUAAUUAAAAAAUGGUUUGGUUUUAAAAUUCUCAACCCUUGUCUUCACCUUUCCCUAUAUUAACAAUUGUCUCCAGGCCCCACAACCUCUGUGAUAACUGUGCUCCUCCAUUGCUGUCCCCUUGCCCCUCUCCAAAACUAAUCAGAGUAGGCCAUCCCUAUAGCUGAAGUGAUCCUAAACUCUGGAACGCACUCCUCAAACUUCUCCAAUUUGCCACCUUCUUUUCCUACUUUCAUACUCAUUUUAAAACAUCUGGUCAUCUGCCCCAAUAUGAAGGGUCUCAGCCCAAAAUGUCAACCGUCACUUUCCCUCCAUAGACACUGCCUGUGUAUCUCUGAUCCACAGUGGAUCACCUGAUCUGCUAAGCUCCUCCGGUGUUUUAUGUGUUUCUCCAAAUUCCUGCAUUUGCAGUCGGCCACAUUCCCGUUGUGCCCCCAUACCUUUCUUUGCAACUUGGUGUCGCAAAUUGCUAUAUAAAUUGAAAUUGUUCUUGAGUCUGCACUGUGAGGCUGGU
This is a long non-coding RNA of Hypanus sabinus (Atlantic stingray), 2877 nucleotides long. RefSeq lists it as uncharacterized. NCBI's taxonomy places the organism in Eukaryota, Metazoa, Chordata, Chondrichthyes, Myliobatiformes, Dasyatidae. The record is from RefSeq and is a predicted model, not a curated record. The transcript has 3 exons.